GCGUCCAUGGCGUAGCAGUAUAACGCGUUUCCCUCCUGCCUAGUCUGCUUGCCCAGAGGCAGCUAGGGAGGGAAGAGACCCGGGUGCGAAUCCCGGUGGAUGUA
Non-coding RNA from Hypoxylon sp. FL1284, 104 nucleotides. The record is from the annotation of a GenBank genome assembly. NCBI's taxonomy places the organism in Eukaryota, Fungi, Ascomycota, Sordariomycetes, Xylariales, Hypoxylaceae.